GAUCAAUGGGGCAGGCGAGAGUGAAUGUGUUUUGCCUACAGGAUCGGGAUACAGCUAGCCGUGAACAUGUGAAUGACGUAAAUGCUUGUAGAACUAAUAAAGAUGUCCGACCAGACUCAAACAGCAGAUCUCAAAUCAGAGGACAGCCGACAGAUUUUCUUUUCCUGAUUUGACUGAAUAUGAAAGGAAAGGAUGGAAACUUCGGGCAUUUCAAGCAUUAGUUUGGUGAUAACAGCGCAAGAAUUUACCUGAUGUCGACCAAGACUAGCUUCUAUCCCCAUCGACUGUCUGAUAUCCUGAACCACAAUUGGAAGUGAAAUCAACGCGGCCUGGUGAGCAAGGAGUGGUGCAGCAAGGGUUUCAUCAGGAGAAGAUAGUGGGUCAGGUGGAUAGGAGAAUGUUGCUUGGAAGGCAUCCGCAUAUUUGGUUAUGUUUCUGUGAGAUGAGGUAUGACGUCAUCGCUGACUGAUCAAUUCGAUUUUCCCAAACCAGAAAGGAAUCGGUUUUACCAUGGGAAAGUGUUGAAGGUGGACUCUGGUGGACGAAUGAUCAAGCUUCCAGGAUCGAGUUGGUCUUCGAUCCGCUAGCCAGAACCAGUUUUUACCACGAGUAGAGAUCGAAGGAGCAAGGUGUUGACGUUGGACUCCUGUCGACGAAUAUGCCGAAAUUGCCGAUACCUUGGAUAGUCAUAACCUGAAACAGUCUCACUUUAGUGAGGGAGAUAUUGCCCCUAUUGCAAGCUUCCAGGACCCAGUUGGUCUUCCGCUAGCCCGAACCCGGUUUUACUAUACGAGAAGGAGUCGACGGUGGAUUCCGGUCGACGAAAAUGCGGAUACCUUGGAAAGUUGACCCGAUUCAGUCUCAUCACGGUGAAGGAUUAUCACUUCUUCCCGGAUCUCCAGUUGAUCUUCCGUCGGCUGGAACCCGAGGGGCCCAGAAAAUGCAGAAGAGAUGGAAAGCCAAGAAUCUCCAUCUAGGUUAAAUAUUAAUCUAUUUUGCUAAAUUUGCUAAAAGAUUAGGCCUUAAUUAUUUCUCAAUUUUGUUGAUUCUACUCCCAACGAAAAUAUAAAGAACCCCCCCCCCAAAAAAAAAGCUGUCCAUUAUCAUCAAGUUUUUAAUUAUCUCAUCCAACUAAAUUUCAUUGUAUUUUUUGUUCCAUGGGCAAUUGAGAUAUUGCGUGUUGCAGAUUAAACUUCAAAUUGAUAUCCACGUUUAAGCCCCCCCCCCCGGCCAGCAAAUAUGUGAAAUUUCGCUUUUCUUGGGGGGGGGGGGGGGCUCACCCAAGCCGAAUGCAGAAUGGAGAUACGUAUAAUAUAGGGCCUACAUUUUCAAAUAAGCUCCAAAACAAGGGACCAAAGCUACCAAGCUAAUGACAAUUUUCAAUAUGGAAAAGACACGUCAAAUGCCAACUGAAGAUCGCGCCUCCCCCCAAAAUGAGCUUUAGACAACAUCUUACUUUUAUCAUCUCAUCUCGACCUUUUUUUUCUUUGGGGAGGGGGGAUGUCUUUUUGCCCCACUCUCGGCGCCAAUGCUUCACAUGGAGAGAAUGAACAUCAUUUAAUUCAGGCAUUUUGAUAUUCAUCCGAAACUAUGAUUUCUUAUCUUAUUCUAUUUGAUCCAGUUUAUAUUAUACUGAAUAGUUAGUUUGAUUGUAGUAGUCACACGCCCCAUAGCAAUAUCAAAAUAAUUUAACUAUUUCAUUUUGGAUGCCAUGCAUGGUGUACGUAGCCGUUUCAAGUAUUAUCAUACGUUCUACGUACCUCUGAUUUUGUAUAUCAUUUAUUGUGCAUUAUUAUAAUUAUGUAACUUAACACAAUCUCUUAAAUAAUUAAUUCAUUUAUAGGAAUCACAACAAUUUGAUUAUUUAAUAAGAAAGACAUGAUGGAUGAUCGCAUAAAUAGCACAGAUAAAUUCAAAUACUUCCCCCUUUUCGGGUUUUAUUUAUAUUAUUGUCACUGGUGCACAGAUGCGGGCAUGACCCCCCCCCCCACGACCAAGGAGAAAGGAGAAAAAAAUGGAAAAGGAAUCAUUCAAUUAACUUCAAUUCGUUCAUUUCAAUAUGAUAUUUUCUUAUUAUGUAGAAAUUAUAUUUUUUGUAUUAAAAAAUGUCAAAAUAUUGCUUGCUCGCAGCUUUUUUUUUAAAUAUAAAUUUUGCCUCAUUUGCCAUGUUUGACCCCUCAAAUAAUUUUGCUCAUUACGCGCCAUUGGUUAUUGUUUUUAUUGGUUAAGUUUGUCAUCUGCUGAACGAAUGAAUAGAAUAAGUAGAUGAAAGAGUAUUACAAAGUGAAUAGACAAAUAUGGAUGAAUGGUUAAUUUGAUAAAUAAACAACUGAGUAAGCAACUAAAUAGAUACAUGAGAAAGUAAUUAAAACUGCUAACUCUUUUUUGGACCGGUAAUUUCCAGUGCUGGGUGCUUUGAUGUCGAUCUUUACGGGGGAAGGGGGUGAUGGUUGGUUCAAAAGAUGAGUGCAGAGGUAUAGUAAGCCAUAUUAUACCAUGCAUUUUUAAUUAUGGCCCCCGUAUUCUUCCCCCUCACUUGUGCAAAUUUAUAUUACAGAUAAAAAUGAAAAAGAUUGUGAUAAGAAAACAAUUUAGAUUAAAUCUAUUACGUUAUUAGGUGUUGGGUGGGUUAUACAUUUUAUUGAUAUUAUUUUACAAAAUAAUAUAAGUAACGAGGUAUAUCACUUAUUUUAACGAGUUCAAUAUAAUACUUGAAAUGCAGAUGCCUAGAUUUCUUGUUCCAUUUUGUGGUAAAUAUCAUCUGAUAAAUUUUAAGGUCGCCCAAAAUAUAAGCUUUAUUUUGUAAUUAUGCAUCAAUUUGAACAGUAAAAAUUUAUAAUUGUAGGCUUUCAACUGCUGGUAUCUCCGAAAACCUUGGUUGAAGUUGAUAAUGGUAGGCCUAUAUAUUCAUGAAGUGCACUGGGAAAAUUUUGAAAAAUAUGUACCUUAGCAAACGACAUUUUGGGUUAAACUUUGUAAUAUGAUAAUUUGCCUAAAUGAUUGAUUAUGGCGCAGUAACAUUUCCCAUACGGGGGUCGUACGACGAGUCUAAAACGGCUGCUUUAAAGGGGAUAUUCCGGACUAAAAAUGCUAUCUACAUGUAAAUAGAGUGAAAUUCAAUAAGCAAAACGCUCAGUUAAAAUUUCAUCAAAUUCUGAUGACAAAUAACGAAGUUAUUGAUUUCAAAGUUAAGCGAUAUUUUAUGAAAACAGUUGUCUGCACACCUUAUGAUAUAUUAGAUGUGCUGCUGACGCCAUGUCUCCACUUUCCUUUUUCUUAUGUUAUUACAUGAAAUCAUAAUUAUUUCAUAUUUCAUACAUGUGUAUGAUACAUGUAUUUCUCUCUUUCAACAUGUUGCAGGAAUGAUUAUCUUACUCAUUUUAUCAAAAAGUCAGUCCAUUUUUUCAUUCUUGAAGGACAAAAUUUGAAUAUAUAGAUAAUAUUGAUCAAUAAAGAUUGUAAGAAAAAAAAAAUACCUCAUCGGUUUGCUCAAUGCAUUUUCAUUAGGACAUGGAUAGAACUGUUUCAUCGAAAUAAUGCAAAACUUAUUAUUGUCAUAACUUUAUUAUUCCUUGUCUGAUUUUGAUGAAAUUUUCAGCAUCAUUUAAUUUUUCUUUAUCUGUACUUUUCAGAAUGUACAUGAUGGAGUACCCUUUAAUCAUUUUGUGCCAGUUACAUAUGGUUCGUAUAUGGAAAUGGCUGUUUUCGACUUGCCGCGCGGGCACCGUAGGGGAAAUGUAAUUGCAGCAAUAUUAAAUGAUCAUGUUACACCUCGUUU
Molecule: long non-coding RNA, 3778 nt
Organism: Lytechinus pictus (painted urchin)
Lineage: Eukaryota; Metazoa; Echinodermata; Echinoidea; Temnopleuroida; Toxopneustidae
Exons: 2
Source: RefSeq, a predicted model, not a curated record